AGACUUGGGAUAACUUCGGGAAACCGGAGCUAAUACCGGAUAAUAUUUUGAACCGCAUGGUUCAAAAGUGAAAGACGGUCUUGCUGUCACUUAUAGAUGGAUUCGCGCUGCAUUAGCUAGUUGGUAAGGUAACGGCUUACCAAGGCAACGAUGCAUAGCCGACCUGAGAGGGUGAUCGGCCACACUGGAACUGAGACACGGUCCAG
This 206-nucleotide ribosomal RNA is filed under the name uncultured Staphylococcus sp. RNAcentral describes it as "partial 16S ribosomal RNA". It matches the Rfam family "Bacterial small subunit ribosomal RNA", at positions 135 to 334 of the family's 1533-position model. The record is from RNAcentral. Lineage: Bacteria; Bacillati; Bacillota; Bacilli; Caryophanales; Staphylococcaceae.